UCUCGGAUAGUAUAGUGGUCAGUAUCCCAGUCUGUCACAUUGGAGACCCGGGUUCAAUUCCCGGUCCGAGAG
Zancudomyces culisetae is the source of this 72-nucleotide transfer RNA. It matches the Rfam family "tRNA". Rfam says of the family: Transfer RNA (tRNA) molecules are approximately 80 nucleotides in length. Their secondary structure includes four short double-helical elements and three loops (D, anti-codon, and T loops). The record is from Rfam. Lineage: Eukaryota; Fungi; Kickxellomycota; Harpellomycetes; Harpellales; Legeriomycetaceae.